GGUUAAGUGACUAAGCGUACACGGUGGAUGCCUGGGCAGUCAGAGGCGAUGAAGGACGUACUAACUUGCGAUAAGCGCAGAUAAGGCAGUAAGAGCCGUUUGAGUCUGCGAUUUCCGAAUGGGGAAACCCAACUGCAUAAGCAGUUACUGUUAACUGAAUACAUAGGUUAACAGAGCAAACCGGGGGAACUGAAACAUCUAAGUACCCCGAGGAGAAGAAAUCAACCGAGAUUCCGGUAGUAGCGGCGAGCGAACCUGGAUUAGCCCUUAAGCACUCGGUGAAGUAGGUGAACAAGCUGGAAAGCUUGGCGAUACAGGGUGAUAGCCCCGUAACCGACGCUUCAUCGAGCGUGAAAUCGAGUAGGGCGGGACACGUGAUAUCCUGUCU
This 388-nucleotide ribosomal RNA is filed under the name Vibrio cholerae. RNAcentral's name for it is "partial 23S ribosomal RNA". It matches the Rfam family "Bacterial large subunit ribosomal RNA", at positions 1 to 439 of the family's 2925-position model. The record is from RNAcentral. Lineage: Bacteria; Pseudomonadati; Pseudomonadota; Gammaproteobacteria; Vibrionales; Vibrionaceae.